Molecule: small nuclear RNA, 107 nt
Organism: Octodon degus (degu)
Lineage: Eukaryota; Metazoa; Chordata; Mammalia; Rodentia; Octodontidae
Source: Ensembl
GUGCUCACUUCGGCAGCACAUGUACUAAAAUUGAAAUGAUAAAGAGAAGAUUAUCAUGGCCACUGCACAAGGAUGACAUGCAAGUUCGUGAAGCGGUCAUAUUUUUA